Molecule: ribosomal RNA, 786 nt
Filed under: uncultured bacterium
Lineage: Bacteria
Description: bacterial SSU rRNA
Rfam family: Bacterial small subunit ribosomal RNA
Source: RNAcentral
GAGUUUGAUCCUGGCUCAGAUUGAACGCUGGCGGCAGGCCUAACACAUGCAAGUCGAGCGGUAGAGAGAAGCUUGCUUCUCUUGAGAGCGGCGGACGGGUGAGUAAUGCCUAGGAAUCUGCCUGGUAGUGGGGGAUAACGUUCGGAAACGGACGCUAAUACCGCAUACGUCCUACGGGAGAAAGCAGGGGACCUUCGGGCCUUGCGCUAUCAGAUGAGCCUAGGUCGGAUUAGCUAGUUGGUGAGGUAAUGGCUCACCAAGGCGACGAUCCGUAACUGGUCUGAGAGGAUGAUCAGUCACACUGGAACUGAGACACGGUCCAGACUCCUACGGGAGGCAGCAGUGGGGAAUAUUGGACAAUGGGCGAAAGCCUGAUCCAGCCAUGCCGCGUGUGUGAAGAAGGUCUUCGGAUUGUAAAGCACUUUAAGUUGGGAGGAAGGGUUGUAGAUUAAUACUCUGCAAUUUUGACGUUACCGACAGAAUAAGCACCGGCUAACUCUGUGCCAGCAGCCGCGGUAAUACAGAGGGUGCAAGCGUUAAUCGGAAUUACUGGGCGUAAAGCGCGCGUAGGUGGUUCGUUAAGUUGGAUGUGAAAUCCCCGGGCUCAACCUGGGAACUGCAUUCAAAACUGACGAGCUAGAGUAUGGUAGAGGGUGGUGGAAUUUCCUGUGUAGCGGUGAAAUGCGUAGAUAUAGGAAGGAACACCAGUGGCGAAGGCGACCACCUGGACUGAUACUGACACUGAGGUGCGAAAGCGUGGGGAGCAAACAGGAUUAGAUACCCUGG